This is a long non-coding RNA of Ailuropoda melanoleuca (giant panda), 545 nucleotides long. RefSeq lists it as uncharacterized. Lineage: Eukaryota; Metazoa; Chordata; Mammalia; Carnivora; Ursidae. The transcript is spliced from 3 exons. The record is from RefSeq and is a predicted model, not a curated record.
GCUAAAAUGAAAGUGUCAGCAGUCUUGGUUCUUUCCAGAGCCUCUCGGGGAGACUCCUGCUUAUUGGGGUGGGUGACCGAAUGGAGUUCCUUGUGGGUGUCGGACUGAGGUCCUGGUUUGGAGAGGCCACUCACACUCCUGGCCUCGUGGCCUCCUUCUCCAUCUUCAACAGCAGCAGUUGGAGGCCGGAUCCUUCCUGUGUGGCAUCUCCCGCAUCCACUUUUUUGCCUUCCCCUUCCAUUUUUCAGGACACAUGUGAUUAGAGUGGGCUGACCAAAAUAAUCCAGAUAAUCUCAUUUCAUCAUGGUCCUUCACCUUGACCAGGCCCUCAACGUCCCUUUGGCCACAUAAGUCUGCUGCAGGCUGAGGGCCCCUUGGCGGAGAGUCUUCUGCCAGCCUGAAUGGCUAAUUGAGACCUUCCUAUGCUGAGCUGGUGCAGAUGGCCGUGAAUGCAACACUGUUAGACAAGGAGGGAAGGGAAGGCGUCAUGAAUAUUUCAACAGGUUCCUCUCAUGGCUAUCACUCCCCACAUCUCGGACCAGACC